Molecule: RNA transcript, 3470 nt
Organism: Olea europaea var. sylvestris
Lineage: Eukaryota; Viridiplantae; Streptophyta; Magnoliopsida; Lamiales; Oleaceae
Gene name: pentatricopeptide repeat-containing protein At2g13600-like
Exons: 3
Source: RefSeq, a predicted model, not a curated record
AACCCCCCAGUGACCCAAAUGCUAAAACCCACACAACCGUUUUCGACGGCUCACCCUGGAAAGAGCAACCAAAAUUCUCAAAAGCAUUUUUGGCGAGGUAAGCUUGUAAAGCUGAAAUUUUCUACCUUGAAAAACUCGACUAUCAGAAAAUUUAGAAUUCGCAAUCCGAUUAUGGGAGGCUCCCAGAGCAGGUCAGCAAUGCUGGCAUGGAGGAGUUUUUGCAAUAUUUCUCAGAGCUGACUGGCAGAAGGUAACAAUUUGGGAAGUGGAAGUAUCUUGGGGGUUCUGAACGGAGAGCCUCUGGUUAUGAAGCUGGCGAAAUACGGUGUGCUUCCUGGAGCCACGACUGCCCUAGGUUACUCUCCUCCCGGUUAUAUUUCACCCAAGAAACCGUCUGAUUUUAACUCCCACAAUUCUUCUUCCUAGUAGAUUCAAAGGCUUUUGGCUGACUAAACGUGCAUCUUUUCAUUUCCCUGGAUGAAUAUGGUAUGUGAUAAUUGUUGCUGCUGUGUACCUGUUGAAAGCAAUCAGGAUUUUGCGUUUCCGUAUUUCUUAAAGAAAAUUGUUGCUUUCCUAUUAUGUCAUGCCUAUAUUUUAAUCCAGUCCUUAUGCAUACUGAUGUCCUUUCGUUUCCCAUCAUGUCCUAUGUCCGAUAUCCCAUCAUUCGCUUUAUAUCGACCCAGCAAAACUUCAUAUGUCAAAGCAAUCCCCUUUCACAAAGUUCCUAUGUGGAUUUGUCCCAGAGGUACUAUGAGGCCCUCAAAACUUCUGCUUCUCAAAAAUCAAUAUUUGUUACUCAAAAAAUCCAUGCUCAGAUCGUUGUCUCUGGUCUUUAUUCUUCGACAUUUCUUCAAAACCAUCUGAUCAACUCGUACUCGAGGAUUGGAAUAGUCAGUGAUUCUGUGAAAGUUUUUUCAGAAACUGAAUUUCGAAAUGUAUUUAGUUGGAAUACAAUGAUUAAUGGGCUGGCAGAUUCUGGUUUGAUGAAAGAAGCAGAAAAGCUGCUUGAUGAAAUGCCUGAGAAAGACUCUAUUUCGUGGAACUCGAUGAUGUCAGGUUACUUUAAUAAUGGGAAGGUCAGAGAUACGAUAAAAGUGUUUGUCUCAAUGAUAAAGGAUCGCCGUUGUAUUCCGGAUUUGUUUUCUUUUUCUUGUGCAAUGAAGGCUUGUGCAAGUCUCGGGUAUGUGAAGCUUGCUUUUCAGCUUCAUGGUUUAGCUGCGAAGUUUGAAUUUCGGAAAGGUAAAUCAAUCAGUUCAUCCAUAAUUGAUAUGUAUAUAAAAUCAGGUGAAUUGGACUGUGCUGAGAGAGUGUUUUCUAGGAUAUCUGGUCCUAAUUUAUUUUGCUGGAAUAGCAUGAUUCAUGGGUAUUCCAAAUUUCAUGGUAUCCAAAUGGCUCUUGAUUUGUUUAAUCAAAUGCCUGAGCGCGAUGUUGUUUCCUGGAAUACCAUGAUUUCUGUCCUAUCUCAACAUGGGAUUGGAAAGCAGACACUAAGUAUGUUUGUUCAAAUGUGCAAUCAAGGUUUUGUACCAAACUCAAUGACCUAUGCUUCUGUUCUUAGUGCAUGCACGAGCACCAGUGAUUUGUCAUGGGGUACUCACUUACAUGCUCGAGUUCUUCGGAUGGUGCCAAAUCUUGAUGUCUAUAUUGGCAGCGGUUUGAUUGAUAUGUAUGCAAAAUGUGGAUGGCUGGAAUAUGCAAAGCGGGUUUUUAGUGACUUAAAAGAGCCGAAUGAGGUUUCAUGGACUUCUUUAAUUGGGGGAGUUGCUCAAUUUGGUUGUGGAGAGGAAGCUCUGGAGAUAUUCAAAAAGAUGAGGGAUGUUCCGAUGGCACCAGAUGAAUUUACUGUUGCUACUGUUAUUGGAGUUUGUUCAAGUUUAAAAGAUAAAUCUCUUGGGGAACAGAUCCAUGCAUAUGUAAUAAAGAUAGGAGUGCAAUCCUCUGUGCCCGUGGGAAAUGCUCUUGUCACAAUGUAUGCAAAGUGUGGAAAUGUUCCAAAUGCAAACCGUGCUUUUGAGUUUAUGCCAGUCAAGGAUAUUAUAUCUUGGACAGCUAUAAUUACUGCAUUUUCCCAGGAUGGAAAUGUCAAAAAAGCAAGAGAACAUUUUGAUAAAAUGCCUGAACGUAAUGUUAUAACUUGGAAUUCAAUGUUAGGCACAUAUAUGCAAAAUGGCUUCUGGGAAGAGGGUCUCAAACUUUAUAUUAUCAUGCUUAGAAGACGAGUUAAACCAGAUUGGAUUACUUAUGCAACUUCACUCAGCGGCUGCUCUUAUUUGGCAGUGAUGAAACUUGGAAACCAAAUCAUGGCACAAGCUGAAAAAGAUGGUUUUAGUUCAGAUGGGACAGUUCUCAAUAGUGUCGUCACUAUGUAUUCAAGGUGUGGACGAAUUGAAGAUGCACAAAAGGUUUUCGAUUCUAUAAUUACGAAGGAUAUUGUUACUUGGAAUGCUAUGAUGUCUGGUUAUGCUCAGAGUGGUCAAGGUAGGAAAGUGAUCGAGAUUUUCGAAGAAAUGUUAAAAUUAGGAUUCACGCCUGAUCAUAUAAGCUACGUGUCCGUUCUAUCAGGUUGCAGCUAUUCUGGACUCGUACCUGAAGGUCAUUAUUAUUUUAAUUUGAUGACCAAAGGUCAUGGUAUCUCUCCAACAUGUGAGCACUAUGUCUGUAUGGUAGAUCUUCUUGCACGAGCAGGUUUGCUGGAGCAGGCCAUAAAUUUGAUCAAGGAAAUGCAGCUGGAACCAAAUGCUGCUGUUUGGGGAGCUCUGCUUGGUGGAUGUCGCAUCCACGGAAACACUGAAUUAGCAGAAGUUGCAGUGUCAAAUUUAAUAAACAUAGAUGUGGCCGAUUCUGGAAGCUAUGUCCUUCUGGCCAACCUUUAUUCUGACUCUGGAAAGUUAGAAGGUGUUUUGGAUAUGAGAAAAAUAAUGAGAGAGAAAGGAAUAAGGAAAAAUCCAGGCUGCAGCUGGAUUGAGGUUGACAACAGGGUGCAUGUGUUCACUGUAGAUGACACCGGCCACCCUCAAAUCAAGGAUGUCUACAGAAUGUUGGAGAAGAUUAUGGAAAUGGUAGAGAAUACAGGAAAAUACAUCUAUGAAAAGUAUUCUGAGAGGCCAAGGAGCUGCCACAGCGAGAAGCUUGCAAUGGCUUUUGGGUUGAUGACUUUGCCAUCUUGGAUGCCUAUUUAUAUAAUGAAGAACCUACGAAUAUGCCAGGAUUGUCAUUUGGUGAUGAAGUUGAUAUCCUUUGUUACUUCAAGGGAACUUAUCAUAAGGGAUGCAAAUAGGUUCCAUCACUUCAAGGAUGGUUCUUGUUCUUGUGGGGAUUACUGGUAGUCCAGUACAUGAAGUUCUCUUCUUCAAGUUGAGUUAAAUUUUAUUAGCAUUCUUCGAGGUUUUAGCCACAUGUCUGCCAAUACAUAUGAGUAAAUGCACCACAGGAUGUUCGGCCCCUUUGGCUCAAGGCAUUUACCCUUUUUA